GUCAGCAAUUACCAAACAUAAGUCUUUUGUUGUCUUAUGUAAAGAUUUUGGUCUUUUGUUGCCGUGUCAAGAUUUGGGUUAUCCCAAUCACAUCAAAUGCUCUGGUUUGCGAUAUAUUGGGUUGGCAAUAGCAUUCUCGAUGGGGACUUCGAAGUUCUCAUAGAGUAUCUAAAAACUAAAAUAAAAGUUGAGGGUUAUUAUUUGAAACUCUACUAAAGAUUAAUGAGGAUAUUUAUAGCUAACAUCUCAUGAACAGUUUUUAACGAAAUUAAGAUAUAAUUGUAUAUUUAAACUUUACUAAAAUGAUAAAAUUUUAUUAUUGAGUAAUUAAAAAUGGAAAACUGGACUAUAAAAUGCUUUUAGACAAAGUUAUUUUAUUUUUUGUAGUCUAUAACUUAAUUCUUUUUUGAGCAGAUAUAACUUAGUAACUUACACAUGCCCAAAAAAAAACUUCCACAUGCACAUCAUGUUUGAAUUUUAAUUGUAAAACGAUUCUACGUGC
Molecule: long non-coding RNA, 502 nt
Filed under: Brassica napus (rape)
Lineage: Eukaryota; Viridiplantae; Streptophyta; Magnoliopsida; Brassicales; Brassicaceae
Description: long non-coding RNA (BNAP_LNC022230)
Source: RNAcentral